CCUACGGGUGGCAGCAGUGGGGAAUAUUGGACAAUGGGCGAAAGCCUGAUCCAGCCAUGCCGCGUGUGUGAAGAAGGCCUUCGGGUUGUAAAGCACUUUCAGUGGGGAAGAAAGCCUUGGGGCUAAUACCCUCGAGGAAGGACAUCACCCACAGAAGAAGCACCGGCUAACUCCGUGCCAGCAGCCGCGGUAAUACGGAGGGUGCGAGCGUUAAUCGGAAUUACUGGGCGUAAAGCGCGCGUAGGCGGUCUGAUAAGCCGGUUGUGAAAGCCCCGGGCUCAACCUGGGAACGGCAUCCGGAACCGUCAGGCUAGAGUGCAGGAGAGGAAGGUAGAAUUCCCGGUGUAGCGGUGAAAUGCGUAGAGAUCGGGAGGAAUACCAGUGGCGAAGGCGGCCUUCUGGACUGACACUGACGCUGAGGUGCGAAAGCGUGGGUAGCAAACAGGAUUAGAUACCCUAGUAGUC
This 465-nucleotide ribosomal RNA is filed under the name Vreelandella stevensii. RNAcentral describes it as "partial 16S ribosomal RNA". It matches the Rfam family "Bacterial small subunit ribosomal RNA", at positions 338 to 795 of the family's 1533-position model. The record is from RNAcentral. Lineage: Bacteria; Pseudomonadati; Pseudomonadota; Gammaproteobacteria; Oceanospirillales; Halomonadaceae.